RNAcentral lists this non-coding RNA (45 nucleotides) under Schistosoma mattheei. Lineage: Eukaryota; Metazoa; Platyhelminthes; Trematoda; Strigeidida; Schistosomatidae. The record is from RNAcentral.
AUCCAGCUGACGAGUCUUAAAUAGGAUGAAACGGGCGUACUGGAU